RNAcentral lists this ribosomal RNA (404 nucleotides) under uncultured prokaryote. Its description in RNAcentral is "bacterial SSU rRNA". It matches the Rfam family "Bacterial small subunit ribosomal RNA", at positions 355 to 774 of the family's 1533-position model. The record is from RNAcentral.
UCAAGAAUCUUCCCCAAUGGACGAAAGUCUGAGGGAGCGACGCCGCGUGCAGGAUGAAGGCCUUCGGGUCGUAAACUGCUUUUAUAUGGGACGAAUACGUGACGGUACCAUAAGAAUCAGAGGUUGCUAACUCUGUGCCAGCAGCAGCGGUAAUACAGGGACCUCAAGCGUUGUCCGGAUUUAUUGGGCGUAAAGCGUCCGUCGGUUGUUUGGAAAGUCAGGAGUCAAAACUUAGGGCUCAACCUGAAGAUCGCUCUUGAAACUUCCAAACUAGAGGAUGGGAGAGGUAAGCGGAACCACAGGUGUAGUCGUAAUAAGCGUUGAUAUCUGUGGGAACACCAAAGGCGAAGGCAGCUUACUAGAACAUUCCUGACACUUAAGGACGAAAGCGUGGGUAGCGAAUG